RNAcentral lists this transfer RNA (63 nucleotides) under Calyptogena rectimargo. Its description in RNAcentral is "tRNA-Phe". Lineage: Eukaryota; Metazoa; Mollusca; Bivalvia; Venerida; Vesicomyidae. The record is from RNAcentral.
GCUUUGAUAGUUUAAAAAGAAUAUAGUUUUGAAGCGACUAGGGUAAUAGUGUGUUUUGAGGCG